CCUACGGGUGGCUGCAGUGAGGAAUAUUGGUCAAUGGACGAGAGUCUGAACCAGCCAAGUAGCGUGAAGGAUGACUGCCCUAUGGGUUGUAAACUUCUUUUAUAUGGGAAUAAAACGUUCCACGUGUGGGAUUUUGUAUGUACCAUAUGAAUAAGGAUAGGCUAACUCCGUUCCAGCAGCCGCGGUAAUACGGAGGAUACGAGCUUUAGCCGGAUUUAUUGGGUUUAAAGGGAGCGUAGGUGGGUUGUUAAGUCAGUUGUGAAAGUUUGCGGCUCAACCGUAAAAUUGCAGUUGAGACUGGCAGUCUUGAGUACAGUAGAGGUGGGGAGAAUUCGUGGUGUAGCGGUGAAAUGCUUAGAUAUCACGAAGAACUCCGAUUGCGAAGGCAGUUCACUGGACUGCAACUGACACUGAGGCUCGAAAGUGUGGGUAUCAAACAGGAUUAGAUACCCUAGUAGUC
Molecule: ribosomal RNA, 460 nt
Filed under: uncultured bacterium
Lineage: Bacteria
Description: partial 16S ribosomal RNA
Rfam family: Bacterial small subunit ribosomal RNA
Source: RNAcentral